AUACUUACCUGGGAGGGGAGAUACCAUGAGAACUAAGGUGGUUUACCCAGGGCGAGGCUUAUCCAUUGCACUCCGGAUGUGGUGACCGCUGCGAUUUCCCCAGAUGUGGGAAACUCGACUGCAUAACUUGUGGUAGUGGGGGACUGCAUUCACAUUCUCCCC
RNAcentral lists this small nuclear RNA (162 nucleotides) under Chinchilla lanigera (long-tailed chinchilla). Its description in RNAcentral is "U1 spliceosomal RNA (ENSCLAG00000018595.1)". It matches the Rfam family "U1 spliceosomal RNA". From Rfam's summary of the family: U1 is a small nuclear RNA (snRNA) component of the spliceosome (involved in pre-mRNA splicing). Its 5' end forms complementary base pairs with the 5' splice junction, thus defining the 5' donor site of an intron. There are significant differences in sequence and secondary structure between metazoan and yeast U1 snRNAs, the latter being much longer (568 nucleotides as compared to 164 nucleotides in human). The record is from RNAcentral. Lineage: Eukaryota; Metazoa; Chordata; Mammalia; Rodentia; Chinchillidae.